GAUGAACGCUGGCGGCGUGCUUAACACAUGCAAGUCGAACGGUGAUGCUCUAACUUGCUGGAGUGGAUCAGGGGCGAACGGGUGAGUAACACGUGAGCAACCUGCCCCAGACUCUGGAAUAAGCGCUGGAAACGGCGCCUAAUACUGGAUACGAAACUGGCCCGCAGGGGCAUGAUUUGGUAAGUUUUUCUGUUUGGGAUGGGCUGGCGGCCUAUCAGCUUGUUGGUGAGGUAGUUGCUCACCAAGGCGACGACGGGUAGCCGGCCUGAGAGGGCGACCGGCCACACUGGGACUGAGACACGGACCAGACUGCUACGGGAGGCAGCAGUGGGGAAUAUUGCACAGUGGGCGAAAGCCUGAUGCAGCGGCGCCGCGUGAGGGAUGACGGCCUUCGGGUUAUAAACCUCUUUCAGCAGAGAAGAAGCGAAAGUGACGGUACCUGCAGAAGAAGCACCGGCUAACUACGUG
RNAcentral lists this ribosomal RNA (468 nucleotides) under uncultured bacterium. Its description in RNAcentral is "partial 16S ribosomal RNA". It matches the Rfam family "Bacterial small subunit ribosomal RNA", at positions 28 to 507 of the family's 1533-position model. The record is from RNAcentral.